Long non-coding RNA from Macaca mulatta (Rhesus monkey), 1836 nucleotides. Lineage: Eukaryota; Metazoa; Chordata; Mammalia; Primates; Cercopithecidae. The record is from Ensembl.
UUUUUGUUUUUCUUUUUGUUUGUUUGUUUGAUCUUCAUUGGGUAGCUAUCUUGACUUUGGAAAGAAAUGGUUAUCUAUUCCCGGAUGUUCCACACCAGUUGGUUAUUUAUCUCCCUAUGUUGCCCAGGCUGGUCUCAAACUCCUAGGCUCAAGGGAUCCUCCCACCUCAGCCUCCCAAAGUGUUGGGAUUACAGGCAUGAGCCACAAAAGGCAUUUUUCAUUAGUGAGAUUAGGCUCACAAAGGUGUCCAUAAUCCAACCAGGUAAUGAUUCUAAGGUAACCCUUUAGCAGAUUUAUUACCAUACAAUAGAUUAUGAAGGGGAAUUCUAUACAUACAAAUAUACAAACACAAAUUCCCUAAUUUAUUAAUUUACAAAACCCCCAAAAGUUAAACCAACUAAAAAGUUACCACUAUCAUCAUCAGAACAUCUUUUCUUUUCUUUUUUUUUUUUUUUUUUUUUUGAGACAGAGUCUCACUCUGUUGCCCAGGCUGGAGUAGUGCUGGAGUGCAGUGGUACCAUCUCAGCUCACUACAGCCUCCGCCUUCCGGGUUCAAGCGACCCUCCUGCCUCAGCCUCCUGAGCAGCUGAGGCUACAGAUGAUUGCUUGAGCCCAUGAAUUUGUGAGCAGCCUGGGCAACACAGCGAGACCCCAUCUCUUUAAGUUCAGGGGUUCAUGUGCAGGCCUGUUACCUAGGUAAACUUGUGUCGUGGGGGUUUGAUGUACAGAUUAUUUCAUCACCAAGGUAUUAAGCCUAGUACCCAUUAGUUGUUUUUCCUGAUCCUCUCCCUCCAUCCACCCUCCACCCUCCAACAGGCCCCAGUGUGUUGCUCCCCUCUGUGUGUCCAUGUGUUCUCAUUAUUUAGCUCCCACUUAUAAGUGAGAACACGCAGUAUUUGGUUUUCUUUCCCUAUGUUAGUUUGAUGAGGAUAAUGGCUUCCAGCUCCAUCUAUGUCCCUGCAAAGGACUUGAUCUCGUUCUUUUUUACGGCUGCAUAGUAUUCCACAAUGUGUAUGUACCACAUUUUCUUUAUCUAGUCUAUCACUGAUGGGCAUUUAGGUUGAUUCCAUGUCUUGCUAUUGUGAAUAGUUCUGCAAUGAAUGUGUGCAUGCAUGUGUCUUUAUAACAGAAUGAUUUUACAUUCCUUUAGGUAUAUAGUAAUGGUAUUGCUGAGUCAGACGGUUUUUGUCUUAGAAGACCCCAUCUCUUAAAAAAAAGAAACAAUUAUUAAACAAAAAAAUCAAACUCUAAUAUCACACAAAAGAAUGCAAUAUGACACUUCUGAAUGUCACAAAUUUUUCAUUUCAUGUCUUGGGCUUAAGUGCAGUGCAGGCAAUAUUUCAGUGGUCUUUAACUUUGUCUGCAUAUUAGAAUCACCCAAAAAACGUUUUAUCUUGAUCCAGUCAAAUACUUUAAAUUACUGGGUGUAGGCCUAGGUAGGCAAUAUUUCAGUGGUCUUUAACUUUGUCUGCAUAUUAGAAUCACCCAAAAAACGUUUUAUCUUGAUCCAGUCAAAUACUUUAAAUUACUGGGUGUAGGCCUAGGUAUUUACUUUGAAGGCUCCCCCAGUGAUUUUUCAAGUGCAGUGAGGGUUGGGAAUCAGUACAAUACUACCUAGUGCUGCUACUAUUCUCCAACACAAGUAUGUAAUAUUCGAAUUAGCCAACAAUUAUCCUUCUUGAUAGUAAUAUAAACAACCCUCACUUACAAAUAUUCUCAUUAAUUUUUUUCUAUGCUACAGACUUUGGUUGGUAUGUGAUCUUUGCCAACUAUAACUAAUGAGUUAGAAAGAGAUGUGGGUUCUGGUCCUGAUCUGUCCGUUUAUGAACCUAUUCU